Molecule: ribosomal RNA, 503 nt
Filed under: uncultured bacterium
Lineage: Bacteria
Description: bacterial SSU rRNA
Rfam family: Bacterial small subunit ribosomal RNA
Source: RNAcentral
UCCUGGCUCAGGAUGAACGCUAGCUACAGGCUUAACACAUGCAAGUCGAGGGGAAACGAUAGAGAAAGCUUGCUUUUUCUAGGCGUCGACCGGCGCACGGGUGAGUAACGCGUAUCCAACCUGCCCAUCACUUGGGGAUAACCUUGCGAAAGUAAGACUAAUACCCAAUGACGUCUCUAGAAGACAUCUGAAGGAGAUUAAAGAUUUAUCGGUGAUGGAUGGGGAUGCGUCUGAUUAGCUUGUUGGCGGGGUAACGGCCCACCAAGGCGACGAUCAGUAGGGGUUCUGAGAGGAAGGCCCCCCACAUUGGAACUGAGACACGGUCCAAACUCCUACGGGAGGCAGCAGUGAGGAAUAUUGGUCAAUGGACGAGAGUCUGAACCAGCCAAGUAGCGUGCAGGACGACGGCCCUAUGGGUUGUAAACUGCUUUUAUAAGGGAAUAAAGUGAGUCUCGUGAGACUUUUUGCAUGUACCUUAUGAAUAAGGACCGGCUAAUUCCGUG